Molecule: ribosomal RNA, 541 nt
Filed under: uncultured bacterium
Lineage: Bacteria
Description: partial 16S ribosomal RNA
Source: RNAcentral
GGAGUUAGCCGGUGCUUCUUCUGUGAGUGAUGUCCUUCCUGCCGGCUAUUAACCCGCAGGCCUUCUUCCUCACUGAAAGUGCUUUACAACCCGAAGGCCUUCUUCACACACGCGGCAUGGCUGGAUCAGGGUUGCCCCCAUUGUCCAAUAUUCCCCACUGCUGCCUCCCGUAGGAGUCUGGGCCGUGUCUCAGUCCCAGUGUGGCUGAUCAUCCUCUCAGACCAGCUACGGAUCGUCGCCUUGGUGAGCCGUUACCUCACCAACCAGCUAAUCCGACAUAGGCUCAUCCGAUAGCGCGAGGCCCGAAGGUCCCCCGCUUUCCCCCGUAGGGCGUAUGCGGUAUUAGCCUGGGUUUCCCCAGGUUAUCCCCCACUACCGGGCAGAUUCCUAUGCAUUACUCACCCGUCCGCCGCUCGCCACCAGGGAGCAAGCUCCCCGUGCUGCCGCUCGACUUGCAUGUGUUAGGCCUGCCGCCAGCGUUCAAUCUGAGCCAGAUCAACUAACUGACUCGUAGCGGGCGUCGGCGACGGACGGCGACUAG